This 569-nucleotide ribosomal RNA is filed under the name uncultured bacterium. RNAcentral's name for it is "bacterial SSU rRNA". It matches the Rfam family "Bacterial small subunit ribosomal RNA", at positions 278 to 847 of the family's 1533-position model. The record is from RNAcentral.
GAUGGAUAGGGGUUCUGAGAGGAAGGUCCCCCACAUUGGAACUGAGACACGGUCCAAACUCCUACGGGAGGCAGCAGUGAGGAAUAUUGGUCAAUGGACGAGAGUCUGAACCAGCCAAGUAGCGUGAAGGAUGACUGCCCUAUGGGUUGUAAACUUCUUUUAUAUGGGAAUAAAACGUUCCACGUGUGGAAUUUUGUAUGUACCAUAUGAAUAAGGAUCGGCUAACUCCGUGCCAGCAGCCGCGGUAAUACGGAGGAUCCGAGCGUUAUCCGGAUUUAUUGGGUUUAAAGGGAGCGUAGGUGGAUUGUUAAGUCAGUUGUGAAAGUUUGCGGCUCAACCGUAAAAUUGCAGUUGAAACUGGCAGUCUUGAGUACAGUAGAGGUGGGCGGAAUUCGUGGUGUAGCGGUGAAAUGCUUAGAUAUCACGAAGAACUCCGAUUGCGAAGGCAGCUCACUGGACUGCAACUGACACUGAGGCUCGAAAGUGUGGGUAUCAAACAGGAUUAGAUACCCUGGUAGUCCACACAGUAAACGAUGAAUACUCGCUGUUUGCGAUAUACAGCAAGCGGC